GAUGAACGCUGGCGGCGUGCCUAACACAUGCAAGUCGAGCGAUCUUCUUCGGAAGAGAGCGGCGGACGGGUGAGUAACGCGUGGGUAACCUGCCCUGUACACACGGAUAACAUACCGAAAGGUAUGCUAAUACGGGAUAACAUACUUUUAUCGCAUGGUAGAAGUAUCAAAGCUCCGGCGGUACAGGAUGGACCCGCGUCUGAUUAGCUAGUUGGUAAGGUAACGGCUUACCAAGGCGACGAUCAGUAGCCGACCUGAGAGGGUGAUCGGCCACAUUGGAACUGAGACACGGUCCAAACUCCUACGGGAGGCAGCAGUGGGGAAUAUUGCACAAUGGGCGAAAGCCUGAUGCAGCAACGCCGCGUGAGCGAUGAAGGCCUUCGGGUCGUAAAGCUCUGUCCUCAAGGAAGAUAAUGACGGUACUUGAGGAGGAAGCCCCGGCGUAACUACGU
RNAcentral lists this ribosomal RNA (452 nucleotides) under uncultured bacterium. RNAcentral's name for it is "bacterial SSU rRNA". It matches the Rfam family "Bacterial small subunit ribosomal RNA", at positions 28 to 506 of the family's 1533-position model. The record is from RNAcentral.